UGCCCUUAGAGUUUGAUCCUGGCUCAGAAUGAACGUUGGCGGCGUGGAUUAGGCAUGCAAGUCGUACGCAUAGCUUCGGCUAUGAGUGGCGCAAGGGUGAGUAAUGCGAAGGUAACCAACCCUGGUGUUGGGCAUAGCCGCGGGAAACUGCGGGUAAUUCCCAGCGACGUCACGAGAUGGCAUCAUCUUGUGACCAAAGGUGUGGUUCCGCUCUAGGACGGGCCUUCGUGGUAUUAGGUAGUUGGUGAGGUAACGGCUCACCAAGCCGACGAUGCCUACCGGGUGUGAGAGCAUGACCCGGCACACUGGGACUGAGAUACGGCCCAGACUCCUACGGGAGGCAGCAGGGAGGAAUAUUGGGCAAUGGGGGAAACCCUGACCCAGCAACGCCGCGUGAAGGAAGAAGGCCCUCGGGUUGUAAACUUCUGUUUUCAGGGACGAAAAAAAUGACGGUACCUGGAGAGAAAGCUCCGGCAAACUACGUGCCAGCAGCCGCGGUAAUAAGGGC
RNAcentral lists this ribosomal RNA (508 nucleotides) under uncultured bacterium. Its description in RNAcentral is "bacterial SSU rRNA". It matches the Rfam family "Bacterial small subunit ribosomal RNA", at positions 1 to 533 of the family's 1533-position model. The record is from RNAcentral.